Molecule: long non-coding RNA, 278 nt
Filed under: Amborella trichopoda
Lineage: Eukaryota; Viridiplantae; Streptophyta; Magnoliopsida; Amborellales; Amborellaceae
Description: long non-coding RNA (ATRI_LNC000128)
Source: RNAcentral
CAAUGGUCAAUUUCUGUACAGAUUACCUUCUUCUCCUUGCUCUCCCUCGAAAAACUCUGUCCACCAAAGGAAUGCCUAACGCAUUCUACCCAAAGUAACCGUUAAGGCUCACUCCUUCACCACACUACCUCCUUCGUUUCUAUUGGCCUAGUUGCUCCACUUCUUAAACAUAGAAGCAUAAGCUCUAGUAGGCUAUUUACCAGUUAUUGAGUCGACCGAAGCCGUUCGAUCGCGGGCAUCAAACUCACACGCCACACCAUCAUGGUGGAAAACUUCCU